AUGGCAGCGGUUUCCCUUAUGGCAGAAGGAGACGGUCAGCAGGACAAUGAUUCAUCCACAAGGGUCGUAUAGUCAUCGAUCGGCUCCAGGAACAGGACAGGACCUCAGGGACGAGGUUGAACGGUUGUGAAGAACAUGUCAGGACCUCCAUGUAACGUGUUGUGGUGAGAAGUGCGAGAAAUGAUCCUGUGCACAUGGGCUGAUAUUCCUGCAGAACCAUUUCCUCACCUGGUGGGGUCUCAGCCUCCAUGAUAAACUGCUGCAGUCCUGAAGGGCAGAGGAGAUACAACCCACUACUAGAUGGGGGUCUACUAUGGGGCCAGUCAUCUUGGUUUUCAAGUACAUUGCAUGUCGGACUUACACAUCGUAUUUUUUUGAAAAAUAAAGUAGCAGGAAAAAACAGGCAGAAGAAAAUGGGAAAGAAUCCCUCUUCCUGUGAAAAAUGCUUCUCUCCAGAACCUUAUUAAUUCCCUGGGAAGGUCGCGGAAACCCAACAACAAAUGGUAGAAAGCUGACACUCUAAAUCAAGGCUUAGUAAGGAAAAUGAAGGAUAAGUUCGGCAGAAUGGCAUUUUCCUCGCGCUAAGUACUACUGGGAGCCAUCGCCGAACAACAAAUUACACUCGCGCUCAUAGAAUAACCAUAUAUUUUUCUUAUAAAUAGUAAUGCAGGCCUCUUUUGUAGCAAAGGUUAAAUACUUAUGACUGAGAACAUUAUUUAAAACUGUUAUAAACCUCCUGAACUGAGGCUGGAAGCAUACGGCUCCGCAGAACAAAAAGAUUUGCCUAAUCUGCUGGUGCUAAUUGCCCCCCUAAGGCGGCCAAUCGGGCGCUUGAUGUCAUCGCUGGUGCAACUCGAUGGGCGAUGAAUAGUAAUGUCUGACUGGUUGUUGUAAGAUGUAAUGUCAUUGG
Molecule: long non-coding RNA, 910 nt
Organism: Hyla sarda
Lineage: Eukaryota; Metazoa; Chordata; Amphibia; Anura; Hylidae
Exons: 3
Source: RefSeq, a predicted model, not a curated record